CCCUUAGAUGUUCUGGGCCGCACGCGCGCUACACUGAUGCAUUCAACGAGCCUAUCCUUGACCGACAGGUCCGGGUAAUCUUUGAAUCUGCAUCGUGACGGGGAUAGAUUAUUGCAAUUAUUAAUCUUCAACGAGGAAUGCCUAGUAGGCGCAAGUCAUCAGCUCGCGUCGAUUACGUCCCUGCCCUUUGUACACACCGCCCGUCGCUACUACCGAUCGGAUGGUUUAGUGAGACCCUCGGACUGGUCCCGCUGUCGGACAGGCAACUGUUUGCAGCGCGUGCGCCGGGAAGAAGGUCGAACUUGACUAUCUAGAGGAAGUAAAAGUCGUAACA
Molecule: ribosomal RNA, 334 nt
Filed under: uncultured eukaryote
Lineage: Eukaryota
Description: partial 18S ribosomal RNA
Rfam family: Eukaryotic small subunit ribosomal RNA
Source: RNAcentral